ACGCUCGACACCUACGGAGGCAGCAGUAGGGAAUCUUCCACAAUGGACGCAAGUCUGAUGGAGCAACGCCGCGUGAGUGAAGAAGGUCUUCGGAUCGUAAACUCUGUUGUUAGAGAAGAACACGAGUGAGAGUAACUGUUCAUUCGAUGACGGUAUCUAACCAGCAAGUCACGGCUAACUACGUGCCAGCAGCCCGUAGUAUNGNGGCGNNGAGAG
RNAcentral lists this ribosomal RNA (216 nucleotides) under uncultured bacterium. RNAcentral describes it as "partial 16S ribosomal RNA". It matches the Rfam family "Bacterial small subunit ribosomal RNA", at positions 328 to 538 of the family's 1533-position model. The record is from RNAcentral.